RNAcentral lists this ribosomal RNA (884 nucleotides) under uncultured bacterium. RNAcentral describes it as "bacterial SSU rRNA". It matches the Rfam family "Bacterial small subunit ribosomal RNA", at positions 8 to 940 of the family's 1533-position model. The record is from RNAcentral.
AGAGUUUGAUCAUGGCUCAGAACGUACGCUGGCGGCACGCCUUAUACAUGCAAGUCGAACGAAGUAGCAAUACUUAGUGGCAGACGGGUGAGUAACAUGUAGGUAUCUUCCCUUUGGUGAGGAAUAACACGAGGAAACUUGUGCUAAUACCUCAUAAGUCUUUACGGAGAAAGCUUUAUGCGCCGAAGGAUGAGCCUGCACUUGAUUAGUUUGUUGGUGGGGUAAUGGCCUACCAAGACUUUGAUCUAUAGCUGAUCUGAGAGGAUGAUCAGCCACAUUGGGACUGAGACACGGCCCAAACUCCUACGGGAGGCAGCAGUAGGGAAUAUUGCACAAUGGAGGAAACUCUGAUGCAGCGAUGCCGCGUGAGUGAAGAAGGCCUUUGGGUUGUAAAGCUCUUUCGUCGGGGAAGAAAAUGACUGUACCCGAAUAAGAAGGUCCGGCUAACUUCGUGCCAGCAGCCGCGGUAAUACGAAGGGACCUAGCGUAGUUCGGAAUUACUGGGCUUAAAGAGUUCGUAGGUGGUUAAAAAAGUUGGUGGUGAAAUCCCAGAGCUUAACUCUGGAACUGCCAUCAAAACUUUUUAGCUAGAGUAUGAUAGAGGAAAGCAGAAUUUCUAGUGUAGAGGUGAAAUUCGUAGAUAUUAGAAAGAAUACCAAUUGCGAAGGCAGCUUUCUGGAUCAUUACUGACGCUGAGGAACGAAAGCAUGGGUAGCGAAGAGGAUUAGAUACCCUCGUAGUCCAUGCCGUAAACGAUGUGUGUUAGACGUUGGAAAUUUAUUUUCAGUGUCGCAGCGAAAGCAUUAAACACACCGCCUGGGGAGUACGACCGCAAGGUUAAAACUCAAAUGAAUUGACGGGGACCCGCACAAGUAGUGGAGCAU